GGGGCACUAGCAGGAUGUUUGGCUUGUCCAUUAUUAUCUAUUUACUGUGAACUGUAUUAUUACUUGACGCUUGAGGGAUGCUCCACUGCUAUAAGGAUAGGCGGUGGGGAUGUUAACCGAGUCAUAGUCAAGCUUAGGCUUGGUAUCCUAUUAUUAUUUACCAAAAGAAUUCAGAAUUAAUAUUGUAACAUAGACCUAAAAAAUCUAUAAAACAACUUUUAACAACGGAUCUCUUGGUUCUCGCAUCGAUGAAGAACGUAGCAAAGUGCGAUAACUAGUGUGAAUUGCAUAUUCAGUGAAUCAUCGAGUCUUUGAACGCAACUUGCGCUCAUUGGUAUUCCAAUGAGCACGCCUGUUUCAGUAUCAAAACAAACCCUCUAUCCAGCAUUUUGUUGAAUAGGAAUACUGAGAGUCUCCUGAUCUAUUCUGAUCUCGAACCUCUUGAAAUGUACAAAGGCCUGAUCUUGUUUAAAUGCCUGAACUUUUUUUUAAUAUAAAGAGAAGCUCUUGCGGUAAACUGUGCUGGGGCCUCCCAAAUAAUACUCUUUUUAAAUUUGAUCUGAAAUCAGGCGGGAUUACCCGCUGAACUUAAGCAUAUCAAAAGCCGCAGAGGAAA
The sequence is a ribosomal RNA, 616 nucleotides long. The stretch from base 214 to 366 matches the Rfam family "5.8S ribosomal RNA".